CACGUCAAGUUUUUAUUGAGUCACACAACUCUGGCCACAACAGAACAGACGCCUGAUCUACGGCUCUUUUUGUAGACACUUGAAAAGGAUGAGAAGAGGCUUGUGCUGUUGACAGUACACACACAUUUAUUCAUUUUUUUUUUUUUAUGUAUUUGUUUGCUUGGUAAAAGUGGUUGCCACAUUCAUUGCAUUUUUACGUUUACUGCUUUAUCAUCAUAUCAAACACGCUCUGAUCCAACAUAAUUCACUUUCUAGUUGUACUCCUGAGAACGAAUAGAAAAUAUAUCUGCAACCUUGCGUUUUUACGUUUACUGCUUUAUCACCAUAUCGUUUGUUUUUCUGUAGACUUUAUUUUGUAUUUAUUUUUUCUGCUGCUGUUGACUUGUUGACUUCUAUAACUUUUGUAUAUAACUAUUUUCUCCAUGAUACCAAAUUAUUGAAAAUCCGGUAAUAUACAGUACAUAUAUUUAUGUCAAAAAUGCAAUUAGUGCCUUCAUUUCAUUGUUUUCUUUUUGUUUACUUCUUUGACUUGCUAUAAGUGGUUGAAUUCUAUAACUCUUGUAUAUACACAUUAUCUUCUCCAUAAUACCAAAUUAUUGAAAGUCUGGUAAUAUACAGUACAUAUAUUUAUAUGUCAAAAAUGAAAUGUGUCUUCAUUUCAUUUUUUUUUUUGAGGUGAAUAGUUUCUGCAAUUUUGUAAUCCUGUUUUUAGUUUUUGUUAUGACAUUGUAAUUUGUAUUUUUUGUAUUUUUCUUGUAAAGUGAUUUGGCAUGGCAUUGCCAUGAAAGGUGCUAUAUAAAAAUAAAUUGGUUGAUUGAUUGAUUGUUGAAUUGUUUUAUGUGUGGGUGGAGUGCAGGUUUGAAAGAUGGCUGGAAGAAACUACAAGAAACUGAUGGAGUCCCUGAAGACCACAAGAAAGCCCAAUUGAUCUUGAGGAUAUCGACACCCUUUUCCUUGAGGAUCACGAGGGGAUGGAUCCACUAGAAGAGGACCAGCUGGAUGAGGAGCUGAUGAUGGAAGAGGGUAGAGCUGAAGAGGAAGAAGCCGUUCCAGAUGAGCCCCAGCCCAGCACUUCCACUGUCAAUAUGGCCACCACAGAUGCAGACCAUGCACACUCCUUGUCCACUAAACGCCGCUGUACACGUCGUCGCAAUGCACCAGAUCGCUGGUCACCAGACAGGUCUGCACUCGCUCGCUACACACUUGACCACACUACUGCCUCCACACCUGAUGCUUCUGCGGAACCUGCUCCAGGCCACUUUGUCGAUGAAGAGAGUGACGCAGAGCCAGGUUUCUUCACGUAUGAAGACGCAGACCAUGAGGCACUGAGACCGCUCCCUUUCAGACCUAGUCGUCCUGUAGGAGUUGACCUCCCCAUGGUUACCCGUGCUCUUCAAUUCACCACAGAUAAGUUUACCCGCAAAAUAGAUUUUGUCCUCCUCUUUUUCACGCAGGUUAUCAUCAAUGAUAUUUGCAAAUUUUCAAAUGCUCAAGGAUGGCAUUUGGUUGCAGAAAAACCUAGCUACGGUAAUAGUCAAGGCGGUUGGAACGAAGUUACCCCAGAGGAGUUAACAUGAUUGUAUGGUUAGCUACUGUUCAUUUGUAUCGGAGCAUGGCUUCUUUGCAUCAUGGCUUAUGGGCUAGGGCAUUCAUGACAAGCAAUCGAUUCAAGGUGAUAAUGGCUGUGCAACAUAUCGUCGAUCCCACCACUGAAAAUAACACUGAUCGCUUACGUAAACUGAGCUGCCUCCUCGAUCAUCUAAAAGCCACGUGUUUUAAACUUUAUCAGCCAAACCAAAAUCUAAUUUUGUAAUAAACCACUGCAUUGACAUAGUUGUCACCAACAGUUUCCUUCUCUCCCAAGAGUCACAUGAAAAAAAUGAGGGAACAGCCGGUUUUGAAAGAUGAAGAAAAUAUUCUCAUCUUCAUUUUAGAGAAAAUCUUUGCCGGCAGCUAGCGGGAAUAGGUAUAGAUGAUGACGUAACGCUAUACGAGCUAACAGCCAAAUUAACACUAGAACCGCCAUGUGGGUCAGUUUGACCCAUUUUGCAUUUAAAAUGUUAAUUACUCUUCCGUUCUAAAUCGUAUGUGUAUGUGUCCGUUUUUGACACUUCCUAAUAUAUGAAUUAAAUAUCCUGACUAAUAGCCAGAAUCGCAAAAAUUAUAUAUAUAUAUUUUUUUUGUAAAUGCAACAAAAAAGACACGCCUCCUCCUAGCACACAUGUUGUUUUUUUUUAUUUCAAGCCUUUCUUUGUUUGUAGAGUGACUACGAGACAGAGAUUGCUAUGAUUGUGGAUUUGUCAAGAUGCAAACUCAGUGAAAGCCUAGUUGCUUAUUUUUCAAUGUACCUGGAGACAUCAAUCCUUGGUUUUGUUCCACAAAUACAACUGGGAAUAUAUCAGAAGGAAAUAUUUAAUCUUGAAAGUAGUCAUUUUGAUUGGAAUACGGCAAGCUGCACUCAGAUGCAUACAGCAAACUGAAAUGACAGGUAGGAUAACAACUCAUGUGCCUAAUAUGAAACGUGUGUUAUAUAUACUUUUUUUAUAUUACUUUUAGAAAAAAAAACAUUUCGGUUUUACAAGUUUGUAUGUAACAGUUUACAUGUGUUUACACAAUAGUGUUCAAUGGAACUGCGUCUGUGUUUACAACACAGCUCCUGGAUGCAGGCACAGUCAGCUGGCAGAAGUGUACGCUCCUCCAUAGAGUACAAUGCAGCCGUCAUACCGGAAGUAGUGUUAUGUUUUAUUUUUAUGUAGUAUUAGAAACAGUGAUGUCGGUUUUACAGUUUUGUGUGUACAUAUACCCGUUUGCACCUGUACACGGGUAUGUACAUACCCAUUUCUUUUGAAAUGUAUAUUUUAUUAUAUUUUUUCACUGUUUGUAGUUGUGCUGUAUGCGCUAAUUAUAAAAAUAAAGCCUUUUAUGUUUAAUUUUCCAUUUAAAUAUGGUGUUUCUAUGAUGCAAAUGUUAGAUAUGAUGUUCAGAAAUAAAACUUUUCAGUUGUAUCCGAUAGCAUGUCUUUCAUUUUCAUAACGAAGCAGUUUAAAAAUGUAUGGGUCAAAGUGACCCACAUGGCGGUUCUAGGUAGUUCGAAAAUCCGACGGUUCUAGUGUUAAGUCAGCCUCCGUCAUCAUUCGAUACGUUACACGUUCCUGGCUACCUAGAGAUUUGUUACCGAACGGCUAACAUAGAACAUAAGACGUCACAAUGUAUUGAUUUUAAAACAUUCUACCUUUUUCAUCUGCCUAUCUACCUCAAUCUACUGUGAUACAUCUAAAAUAAUUUCAGUAACUCUGUUGUUUGUUGCAACAAGUUCUGAAACUGAAUCUGUUACACCCUCCUGAGCAAACCCACUCUCCAGCCUAACAGGAGUCACUAAAAUGGGGAUUCCUCUCCGAAAAUCUGUACCCCAAGUUCAGUUGCUCUUUUCAAUUUGGUUGGAGGACCGCUAUCAAUUUUUUAAAUGUUCCUGUUAAAAAUAUUUCUUUUUUAGCGUCCUGCACCAUAUUUUUCUACUGCUUCUCUGCGUCUUUUACAGACUGUUUGUGCUGUGGAUUAACAUUAUUUAUGUUCUCAGUAAUUCUUCCUCAUGCUUGUUGUUUGUACUGUUUGUGCACUUGUUAGAAAAUGUCCCUAACAGUGUUCAUUUUUCAACAUUGUACUCCUCAAAAGGCUAGGCUCCCACAGCGUAGCUCUUGCAGGGUAUGAAUUUGAUGAAUUUAGGUACUAAAAUCUCGCAAUGUUGAAUUUAGGUACUAAAACAAAGUUUAUUUCAUAACAAUAACCUAACCCUAAACCUAUGGUUUGUGGGGUAUUGGCUGUAACUUUAAAUACACACAACAAUAACCUAACCUUAAACCUAAAGUUCGUGGGGGUAUUGGCUGUUAAUCACCAAUUAAUUCUCACAGGGUAAUCACUAUGUUCAGUGUUCAUCCUAUCUCCUCUCUUCGUUAUUUAGGAAUUGAAAAGGUUUAUUUGCCCAGAAGGAUUUUGGAUAGAUUUUUUGAAAACAUUAACCCUCCAAGGUAUGAAUGUGGAAUUUGAUUUUAAGUGCUUCUUGUGAAAACUGUAUAAAUAUCUGUUACUUGAUUUAAAAUUGUUUUGUUUACUUUAUAGAAAAAUUGAACUAUGUAACUUAAUCAUGAGACCUUAAUUGGCAAUUGACUAUAUUAAUUCAUCUAAAAAUGUAUAUGAUUAUACAGAUUUGUAUUUUUUGUCUGAGUAAUGUGCCUCCUUAAUGUUGUAUAUUUCUUUUUAAAAUAUUUCUAUAUUAAUUGUCUAUACUUUUGUACAGCAAGUACUGUAUAUGGUAAUUGAUAAGUGCUUCUUGUAUACAUUGUAUAAAUUAAUUUAUUUCUCAAUAUAAAAUUGGUUUUGUCAAACUUAACAAUUUAAGUAUGUAACUCUAAAUUGGUAAUUGACUUUGUUAAUCUUCCUUGAUUGAUCUUAUACUAAUUAUUGAAUUUUCACGGGAAUGCAAUGACUUUUCUUCACCUGUGAUUGAUUACUUGAAACCUUUAAAUAUGUCUGUUUUAUACAAACUUUUACACUGAUGAAGACACUCCGGUGUCAAAAAGUCGGCUUUUAAUAAAUUAUUUUUGGAUUGCAA
Acipenser ruthenus (sterlet) is the source of this 4609-nucleotide long non-coding RNA. RefSeq lists it as uncharacterized. The record is from RefSeq and is a predicted model, not a curated record. Lineage: Eukaryota; Metazoa; Chordata; Actinopteri; Acipenseriformes; Acipenseridae. The transcript is spliced from 3 exons.